This 340-nucleotide long non-coding RNA is filed under the name Populus tremula. Its description in RNAcentral is "long non-coding RNA (PTRE_LNC003069)". Lineage: Eukaryota; Viridiplantae; Streptophyta; Magnoliopsida; Malpighiales; Salicaceae. The record is from RNAcentral.
UCGAGUUCUAGAAAUCCAAAUACACCGAUUCUUCCUAAGCUAUUUCCAUUACAGGUUGCGCCUUCAAAUAAGCCUCCAUCAGAGCUCAAGUUCCAUCUUGAAAAUAUCAUCUCAUCCUCCUGGGUGCUGAAUAUAUCUAAUUUGUCAGCCGUGAACGUAAAGUAAUCCUCGUAAGCUUUUGAAACAUUAAGAAAACUAUAGACAAGUCCUGACAUCCAGUCAAGAUUUCGAAACUGCCAUUACUCCUCAAUGAUCCUCUAGUCCAAAAAAGCUCGCCUCGCAGCUCAAUAACCAGUUGCUGUCCAUUGGGCUCCCACUCAAACGUAAAAGCACCCGAAGC